GACGAACGCUGGCGGCGUGCCUAAUACAUGCAAGUAGAACGCACAGUUUAUACCGUAGCUUGCUACACCAUAGACUGCGAGUUGCGAACGGGUGAGUAACGCGUAGGUAACCUGCCUGGUAGCGGGGGAUAACUAUUGGAAACGAUAGCUAAUACCGCAUAAUAUUAAUUAUUGCAUGAUAAUUAAUUGAAAGGUGCAAUUGCACCACUACCAGAUGGACCUGCGUUGUAUUAGCUAGUAGGUGAGGUAACGGCUCACCUAGGCGACGAUACAUAGCCGACCUGAGAGGGUGAUCGGCCACACUGGGACUGAGACACGGCCCAGACUCCUACGGGAGGCAGCAGUAGGGAAUCUUCGGCAAUGGACGAAAGUCUGACCGAGCAACGCCGCGUGAGUGAAGAAGGUUUUCGGAUCGUAAAGCUCUGUUGUAAGAGAAGAACGGGGGUGAGAGUGGAAAGUUCACACUGUGACGGUAUCUUACCAGAAAGGGACGGCUAACUACGUG
This 505-nucleotide ribosomal RNA is filed under the name uncultured bacterium. RNAcentral describes it as "partial 16S ribosomal RNA". It matches the Rfam family "Bacterial small subunit ribosomal RNA", at positions 28 to 507 of the family's 1533-position model. The record is from RNAcentral.